GAUGAAGAACAGAUGCUUCUCCCUGAAAAAUGUCUUAGCAAUCCAGACGGAUAGUUUCGGAGUUCUUUAGAGGAAAAAACCCCGAUGGAGUUCUUGUAUUUUCUUGUUUCUUGCAGUUGCCGUUCCACAGACGUGUCUUUGUGGUAACUUACAGCCAGAUGAUGAAGAUGUGACAGUUUUAACUUCUACAGAGGAUUCUUCCUCCGAGUGCUUCCAAGGUAUUUUGGCUUGAAAAGCUUGAAGAAUAUUCAAGUCAGCUUCCAGAAGUGGUUGUCCCAAGUUCAAGUCCCAGGACCACCAAGCUGCCUCUGUUGGGCCCUUGAGCAAGACCCUGAAACUGCUGAGUUGUAUAAAAUGAGAUAAAAUAGAAACCGGAAACUUCUCUGUUCUGAAGCUGAUAAACUUCACAUGGCGCUGUUCCUGCUGUUAUGAGGCACUUACAAAUUGCAUAACCACAUGAACAGAGUAUAUAACAUAUACUUUGUUUCAUCAACACUUUUAAAAGUUUCUUUAUUAUCAGUCUUAUUAGAUGUGGAAAAUGUGCUGUGAAGGUCCCUGGGUGUGAGCUGUUACUCCAAAAAGAAACAAUACCACAUUUUGAACUAGCGCAUUAAUAUGAAUUUAUGCUAAUUAUGUUAUUAUCUUCAUGUCCUCCAUGUUACAGCCCAGAUUAGCAAACCAUGCAGACCAUCUGACCAAUCAGAUUCAAGAAUUCCAUCCUGCUGUACUAAUUUGUUCCAUUUUUGAACUGUGUCUAUACAUUUAAACUUGUCAGGUUCCAGCUGAUGUGAUUCAUUAAGUAAACAGUCUAUGUUUAAUCUUCUUUUGGUGACUCGAAUACGUCUAUAUUCCAUUUCAUGGAUACCGCAGUAAUCCCUCAGACUAAUUUGAAUAACUUUCAAAUAUGUGUGUGUGUGUGUUUUUUUUUAAAUGUUCGUAGUUUAUUGCUGAUUCCUGGUAUCCUAUAUCCCUCCUGAGCCAGUGGAUUUAAGAGAAACCUUACAGUUGAUCCUUCUCUGUCAAGUCUCAUAGCACUUUUGGAAAAGUGUGUAAUUCUGGACACAGUGUGAGAGUUCUGCUCUAUAUUUAGUGUAUUCUUCAAUUUUGGAGACUGUUGAAAUGACAGGUUCAACUUUUGAUGAUUUUACUUUGCAUGCAGAGCAAGAAAUGACUAAAAUCUUUGUACAGAUGUGAUAACCUGCAGACAUCAUUAUCAUCAUUGAUAGAGACGAUCUGGGUCUGUAUCUGUUUAGUGCUUCAAAGAUCUGUGCUUGUGUUUGGAGUGGGCGUGGCCUAUACAGAACAAGCUUUAAAAAAGAUUUCUAUUAUCUGCCCAUCCGAUUUCUGUGCUGUGUAUCCUACACAGGUAACCUGGAGUCUAACCAAAAGGACUCGGGUCACAAGGUGGUUGACAUCCUGGAUGGGUUGCCAGUCCAUUGCAGGGAACAAUCACACACACCCACACACACAAACAGACACACACACUAUAGACAAUUUAGAGAAAGCAAUCAGUCUAUGCAUAUUUUUGGGCUUGGGGAGGAAACCAGAGUAUCUGGAGGAAACCCCCAUCCCUGUAUUAUUAUUAUUAUUAUUAUUAUUAUUAUUAUUAUUAUUAUUAUUAUUAUUAUUAUACGAAUGCUACGACAAUUGCCCAGGAAAAAAACACUGUGAAAAAUCCCUCAUAUUCAGAUAUGUAUUCACGUCUGUUUAGAACGCAUUAACUGUUCAAUAAUAACAUAUCCAUAUUCGGUUCCAUCUCUAAUAGAGAUAAAGGGAAAUGAAUCUUAAAUUAAGUUGCGGUUUAACCUCUGCUAUUAGUAGUUAUGUGUGGCUUUGGAGCAUGAGUCCAAAAGAAGCUUUUUCAUGUUUAGCCAGACUUUUGGCUCCAGCAGCUUCAAAUUGUACAUUUCAUUGGGUUUCUCUCUCUCUCUCUCUCUGUCUCAUAUAGCAAGAAGCUAAUUUAAAUCUCAGCACCAUAAAACAGUGGCUUUACAAGCAACUUUACAUGUUGUUUUUUUGUAAAAGAAACUGAUUCCUUCUCUAACGCUGGAAAGGCUCCUCAUGUUGCUCUAGUCCUCUCUCUUUCUUUUUUUUUUAAGUCUGAUUUCCCUGGUAAAACUGAUGCGUCGCUUGGCCCACUGUGUGUUGUACUGUUGUAUGGUGCUGUGUUCUUUGCCACUCUCCUAUUCCCUUUUCAGAGCAGCACAGCUUUCUUAGUGGCCCCUUAAGUCCCAAUUUUGACUGGAAAACUCUGUGUGUGCCUGGCGCCUUCCUCUGUGGCCCAGCUCCUGCUUGGCUGUCCCCUGAAGAGUGGAACAAAGAGGCUGGAAUUACAGCACGCUGCCGGAGCCUAAUCUCCUAGGACACCUCCAUGCAUGGAAACUAGUGUACACUAGUGCAAGAAAAACAGCACCUUACACUGUAAAACACGACAAACUCUAAUAACCAAGUUUGUGUCUUAAUUCCAUUGAGUUUGGCUUCGUUUUUAAUUCUUAAAAAGUGUGUGAUGACUUCUUAAGCUUUAAAGCAAGUUGUAUGGUGAUAUGCAGUUAUCUGUUUGAUACCGAGACCUUUUAAUAUUACAUGUUGUUUUAAUUGAAUUAUUUAUUAUUGCUUGUAAAAGCACACUCUGUAAUUGAUUGAUGUUGUAUAUUAUUUUAAUUUCAACCUCAUAAAAUGUUUCGAUCCUGAGCAUUUUUUAUUUUUUUUCAUUUUCUCAAAGAAAACAAACAUGUACCAUACCACCAAUGUCAUAACUGUACAAGCUUAGAUUACUCUUCAAAGCACUCUAUGUGUACAAUAUAAUUAAAAGAGACAUGAAUCAGAUUAUUAUGAAGACUUGUUUAAGGGAAAAAAGUGUGAUGGAAUCUAAACAUUUCAGUCUUUCUGUAAGAAUAGCCUUAUUGGUUUCCAACUCUUGUUAAAAGUGGGUAAUUUAUCCUUUAAUAUAAAUCUCAGUUCUUUCAGGUGCAACAUGUUUCCCAGUUCCCUAGCCCACAUCUCAAAAGUGGUGACAGCAUCUGCUUUCCACAUCUGUAAAAUAAGUCUUUAUACAGAAUGAGUUGAUCCUGAGCAUUUUCCUAAAUUACCCAUCACCCAACCCCUACAACAUGUCACAUGAUCACGACAUUCAUGCCCCAGUCACCAUCAUUUGUGUCCUGGUAUUUCAGUGUUUCUUUGUCUAGCUUUACUUUAUUGUUUUUUUGUGAAUAAAAGUUUGCACUUGUCUCAGUCAUACAUCAUUCUAUGACCACU
Molecule: long non-coding RNA, 3255 nt
Organism: Hemibagrus wyckioides
Lineage: Eukaryota; Metazoa; Chordata; Actinopteri; Siluriformes; Bagridae
Exons: 3
Source: RefSeq, a predicted model, not a curated record